GACGUAGGAGGCGAGCGUUAUCCGGAUUCACUGGGCGUAAAGCGCAUGUAGGCGGAUGUCUAAGUCGUGUGUUAAAGCCCCUGGCUCAACUGGGGGAGGUCAUGCGAGACUGGAUGACUUGAGGGCAACAGAGGCACGUGGAAUUCCGGGUGUAGUGGUGAAAUGCGUAGAGAUCCGGAGGAACCCCAGAGGCGAAGGCGGCCCCCUGGCUCGUACCUGACGCUCAGCCACGAAAGCAUGGGGAGCGAACGGG
Molecule: ribosomal RNA, 253 nt
Filed under: uncultured bacterium
Lineage: Bacteria
Description: partial 16S ribosomal RNA
Rfam family: Bacterial small subunit ribosomal RNA
Source: RNAcentral